Molecule: ribosomal RNA, 494 nt
Filed under: uncultured bacterium
Lineage: Bacteria
Description: bacterial SSU rRNA
Rfam family: Bacterial small subunit ribosomal RNA
Source: RNAcentral
GAUGAACGCUAGCGGCAGGCUUAACACAUGCAAGUCGAGGGGUAUCACGCUUUCGGGCGUGAGAGACCGGCGCACGGGUGCGUAACGCGUAUACAAUCUACCUUUUACAGAGGGAUAGCCCAGAGAAAUUUGGAUUAAUGCCCCAUAGUGUUAUCGAAUCGCAUGGUUUGAUAACUAAAGUUCCAACGGUAUAAGAUGAGCAUGCGUCCCAUUAGUUAGUUGGUAAGGUAACGGCUUACCAAGACAAUGAUGGGUAGGGGUCCUGAGAGGGAGAUCCCCCACACUGGUACUGAGACACGGACCAGACUCCUACGGGAGGCAGCAGUGAGGAAUAUUGGUCAAUGGGCGCAAGCCUGAACCAGCCAUGCCGCGUGCAGGAAGACGGUCCUAUGGAUUGUAAACUGCUUUUAUACAGGAAGAAACCCUCCCACGUGUGGGAGCUUGACGGUACUGUAGGAAUAAGGAUCGGCUAACUCCGUGCCAGCAGCCGCGGU